AGAACUUGAAACCGUGUGCUUACAAGUAGUCAGAGCCCGUUAAUGGGUGAUGGCGUGCCUUUUGUAGAAUGAACCGGCGAGUUACGAUCUGAUGCAAGGUUAAGCAGAAAAUGUGGAGCCGUAGCGAAAGCGAGUCUGAAUAGGGCGAAUGAGUAUUUGGUCGUAGACCCGAAACCAGGUGAUCUACCCUUGGUCAGGUUGAAGUUCAGGUAACACUGAAUGGAGGACCGAACCGACUUACGUUGAAAAGUGAGCGGAUGAACUGAGGGUAGCGGAGAAAUUCCAAUCGAACUUGGAGAUAGCUGGUUCUCUCCGAAAUAGCUUUAGGGCUAGCCUCAAGUGAUGAUUAUUGGAGGUAGAGCACUGUUUGGACGAGGGGCCCCUCUCGGGUUACCGAAUUCAGACAAACUCCGAAUGCCAAAUAAUUUAACUUGGGAGUCAGAAUGUGGGUGAUAAGGUCCAUAUUCGAAAGGGAAACAGCCCAGACCACCAGCUAAGGUCCCAAAAUAUAUGUUAAGUGGAAAAGGAUGUGGCGUUGCCCAGACAACUAGGAUGUUGGCUUAGAAGCAGCCAUCAUUUAAAGAGUGCGUAAUAGCUCACUAGUCGAGUGA
This 611-nucleotide ribosomal RNA is filed under the name Staphylococcus pseudintermedius. Its description in RNAcentral is "partial 23S ribosomal RNA". It matches the Rfam family "Bacterial large subunit ribosomal RNA", at positions 545 to 1156 of the family's 2925-position model. Lineage: Bacteria; Bacillati; Bacillota; Bacilli; Caryophanales; Staphylococcaceae. The record is from RNAcentral.